This 564-nucleotide ribosomal RNA is filed under the name Streptomyces sp. 319G07. Its description in RNAcentral is "bacterial SSU rRNA". It matches the Rfam family "Bacterial small subunit ribosomal RNA", at positions 93 to 671 of the family's 1533-position model. The record is from RNAcentral. Lineage: Bacteria; Bacillati; Actinomycetota; Actinomycetes; Kitasatosporales; Streptomycetaceae.
UAGUGGCGAACGGGUGAGUAACACGUGGGCAAUCUGCCCUUCACUCUGGGACAAGCCCUGGAAACGGGGUCUAAUACCGGAUAAUACCUGCCUGGGCAUCUGGGNGGGUUGAAAGCUCCGGCGGUGAAGGAUGAGCCCGCGGCCUAUCAGCUUGUUGGUGAGGUAGUGGCUCACCAAGGCGACGACGGGUAGCCGGCCUGAGAGGGCGACCGGCCACACUGGGACUGAGACACGGCCCAGACUCCUACGGGAGGCAGCAGUGGGGAAUAUUGCACAAUGGGCGAAAGCCUGAUGCAGCGACGCCGCGUGAGGGAUGACGGCCUUCGGGUUGUAAACCUCUUUCAGCAGGGAAGAAGCGAAAGUGACGGUACCUGCAGAAGAAGCGCCGGCUAACUACGUGCCAGCAGCCGCGGUAAUACGUAGGGCGCAAGCGUUGUCCGGAAUUAUUGGGCGUAAAGAGCUCGUAGGCGGCUUGUCACGUCGGUUGUGAAAGCCCGGGGCUUAACCCCGGGUCUGCAGUCGAUACGGGCAGGCUAGAGUGUGGUAGGGGAGAUCGGAAUUCCU